RNAcentral lists this ribosomal RNA (527 nucleotides) under uncultured bacterium. Its description in RNAcentral is "bacterial SSU rRNA". It matches the Rfam family "Bacterial small subunit ribosomal RNA", at positions 355 to 896 of the family's 1533-position model. The record is from RNAcentral.
UGGGGAAUAUUGGGCAAUGGGCGAAAGCCUGACCCAGCAACGCCGCGUGAGGGAAGAAGGUUUUCGGAUCGUAAACCUCUGUCCUUGGUGAAGAGAAGAAGACGGUAGCCAAGGAGGAAGCCCCGGCUAACUACGUGCCAGCAGCCGCGGUAAUACGUAGGGGGCGAGCGUUGUCCGGAAUGAUUGGGCGUAAAGGGCGCGUAGGCGGCCUGUUAAGUCUGGAGUGAAAGUCCUGCUUUCAAGGUGGGAACUGCUUUGGAAACUGGUAGGCUGGAGUGCAGGAGAGGUUAGCGGAAUUCCCGGUGUAGCGGUGAAAUGCGUAGAGAUCGGGAGGAACACCAGUGGCGAAGGCGGCUAACUGGACUGUAACUGACGCUGAGGCGCGAAAGUGUGGGGAGCAAACAGGAUUAGAUACCCUGGUAGUCCACACUGUAAACGAUGAAUGCUAGGUGUAGGGGGUAUCGACCCCUUCUGUGCCGGGGUAAACACAAUAAGCAUUCCGCCUGGGGAGUACGGCCGCAAGGUUG